This 580-nucleotide ribosomal RNA is filed under the name uncultured Glomus. RNAcentral describes it as "eukaryotic LSU rRNA". It matches the Rfam family "Eukaryotic large subunit ribosomal RNA", at positions 204 to 637 of the family's 3401-position model. The record is from RNAcentral. Lineage: Eukaryota; Fungi; Glomeromycota; Glomeromycetes; Glomerales; Glomeraceae.
CAUGGAGGGUGAGAAUCCCGUUCGGUUGACCUUAUGACGCUCUACGAUACGCUCUCUAAGAGUCGAGUUGUUUGGGAUUGCAGCUCAAAAUGGGAGGUAAAUUUCUCCUAAGGCUAAAUAUCGGCGAGAGACCGAUAGCGAACAAGUACCGUGAGGGAAAGAUGAAAAGAACUUUGAAAAGAGAGUAAAAUAGUACGUGAAAUUGUUGAAAGGGAAGCGAUUGAAGUCAGUCGUACCGACGAGAAAUCAACUUAUCGUGUGCGAACUUGUGGGCGUGCGUGAGUUUCGGCCUCGCUGUUUGCAUGUUUGUGUGCUUUGGGUGUACUUUUUCGUAUGGUAGGCCAACGUCAGUUUCGAUUAUCAUAAAAUGACCGGCGGAAUGUAGCUUCGAUUUCGGUUGAAGUGUUAUAGCCUCUGGUAGAUGUGGUGAUUGAGACUGAGGAUUGCAACGAAUACCCUUUGGGCUAUCCGUCUGGCCUCUGAAAGUUGCUCAGGUGCCGAAAGCGUGCUUACGGUUAUCUAAGAUAACGUUCAACAGGUUAGAACGUGAUUACAUUCGUUAAGGAUGUUGACGUAAUGG